Molecule: ribosomal RNA, 253 nt
Filed under: uncultured bacterium
Lineage: Bacteria
Description: partial 16S ribosomal RNA
Rfam family: Bacterial small subunit ribosomal RNA
Source: RNAcentral
UACGUAGGGACCGAGCGUUGUCCGGAAUCAUUGGGCGUAAAGAGCGUGUAGGCGGCUAUUUAAGUCCUGCGUGAAAUCCUGCGGCUCAACCGCAGACGGUCGUGGGAAACUGGAUGGCUAGAGUGCGGGAGAGGAGAGUGGAAUUCCCGGUGUAGCGGUGAGAUGCGCAGAUAUCGGGAAGAACACCCGUGGCGAAGGCGGCUCUCUGGAACGCAACUGACGCUGAGACGCGAAAGCGUGGGGAGCAAACAGG